GAUUGAACGCUGGCGGCAUGCCUUACACAUGCAAGUCGAACGGCAGCACGGGAGCAAUCCUGGUGGCGAGUGGCGAACGGGUGAGUAAUAUAUCGGAACGUGCCCAGUCGUGGGGGAUAACGUAGCGAAAGCUACGCUAAUACCGCAUACGAUCUAUGGAUGAAAGCGGGGGAUCGCAAGACCUCGCGCGAUUGGAGCGGCCGAUAUCAGAUUAGGUAGUUGGUGAGGUAAAGGCUCACCAAGCCGACGAUCUGUAGCUGGUCUGAGAGGACGACCAGCCACACUGGGACUGAGACACGGCCCAGACUCCUACGGGAGGCAGCAGUGGGGAAUUUUGGACAAUGGGCGCAAGCCUGAUCCAGCAAUGCCGCGUGCAGGAUGAAGGCCUUCGGGUUGUAAACUGCUUUUGUACGGAACGAAACGGUGAGCUCUAAUACAGUUUGCUAAUGACGGUACCGUAAGAAUAAGCACCGGCUAACUACGUG
RNAcentral lists this ribosomal RNA (485 nucleotides) under uncultured bacterium. Its description in RNAcentral is "bacterial SSU rRNA". It matches the Rfam family "Bacterial small subunit ribosomal RNA", at positions 27 to 507 of the family's 1533-position model. The record is from RNAcentral.